This 489-nucleotide ribosomal RNA is filed under the name uncultured bacterium. Its description in RNAcentral is "partial 16S ribosomal RNA". It matches the Rfam family "Bacterial small subunit ribosomal RNA", at positions 30 to 506 of the family's 1533-position model. The record is from RNAcentral.
AUUGAACGCUGGCGGCAGGCCUAACACAUGCAAGUCGAACGGUAACAGGAAGCAGCUUGCUGCUUCGCUGACGAGUGGCGGACGGGUGAGUAAUGUCUGGGAAACUGCCUGAUGGAGGGGGAUAACUACUGGAAACGGUAGCUAAUACCGCAUAACGUCGCAAGACCAAAGAGGGGGACCUUAGGGCCUCUUGCCAUCGGAUGUGCCCAGAUGGGAUUAGCUAGUAGGUGGGGUAACGGCUCACCUAGGCGACGAUCCCUAGCUGGUCUGAGAGGAUGACCAGCCACACUGGAGCUGAGACACGGUCCAGGCUCCUACGGGAGGCAGCAGUGGGGAAUAUUGCACAAUGGGCGCAAGCCUGAUGCAGCCAUGCCGCGUGUAUGAAGAAGGCCUUCGGGUUGUAAAGUACUUUCAGCGGGGAGGAAGGGAGUAAAGUUAAUACCUGUGCUCAUUGACGUUACCCGCAGAAGAAGCACCGGCUAACUCCGU